GAUGAACGCUGGCGGCGUGCCUAACACAUGCAAGUCGAACGUGAGAGGGUAGCAAUAUCCUUGAAAGUGGCGCACGGGUGAGUAAUACGUAGGUGACCUGCCCUGGAGUGGGGGAUAACAGCUAGAAAUGGCUGCUAAUACCGCAUAAUACGAGAAUGCUGGGAAGUGUUCUGGUAAAAAACUCUGGUGCUUCAGGAGGGGCCUGCGGCCGAUUAGCUAGUUGGCGGGGUAAGAGCCCACCAAGGCAGUGAUCGGUAGCUGGUCUGAGAGGACGAUCAGCCACACGGGAACUGAGACACGGUCCCGACUCCUACGGGGGCAGCAGUGAGGAAUAUUGGGCAAUGGGCGGAAGCCUGACCCAGCAACGCCGCGUGGAGGAAGACGGCCUGGUUGUAACUCUUUACGGGUAAGAGGAAGGACGGUACCCGAGAACUAAGUACACGGCUAACUACCGUAGCCAGCAGCCGCGGUAAAAAGUAGGUAGUGGUA
Molecule: ribosomal RNA, 489 nt
Filed under: uncultured bacterium
Lineage: Bacteria
Description: bacterial SSU rRNA
Rfam family: Bacterial small subunit ribosomal RNA
Source: RNAcentral